AGAGAAAGAGGGAGGCAGGCCUAACACAUGCAAGUCGAACGAACUCUUCGGAGUUAGUGGCGGACGGGUGAGUAACACGUGGGAACGUGCCUUUUGGUUCGGAAUAACUCAGGGAAACUUGUGCUAAUACCGACUGUGCCCUUCGGGGGAAAGCUUUCUCGCCCUUAGAGCGGCCCGCGUCUGCUUCGCUCGUUGGUGCGGUCCCGGCUCACCCAGGCGCCGAUCCGUAGCUGGUCUGAGAGGAUGACCAGCCACACUGGGACUGAGACACGGCCCAGACGCCGACGGGAGGCAGCAGGGGGGAAGCGGGCGCAAGGGGCGAAAGCCGGACGCAGCCAUGCCGCGUGAAUGAUGAAGGUCUUAGGAUUGGAAAAGGCUGGCACCGGGGACGAGAAUGACGGGACCCGGAGAAGAAGCCCCGGCUAACUGCGUG
This 433-nucleotide ribosomal RNA is filed under the name uncultured bacterium. RNAcentral's name for it is "partial 16S ribosomal RNA". It matches the Rfam family "Bacterial small subunit ribosomal RNA", at positions 38 to 507 of the family's 1533-position model. The record is from RNAcentral.